GUGAGAGCUCGAACUGCCCGAAUGUUCCUGAGCCGAAUCGAGAUUUUGUUAGAGAAAUAGCAAAGCGUGGGAUUCUCUUCACUGCAAUUGUCUACGGUGUGCUGGUUGUUGGCUGUAAAAAUGUUUUGGCAACAGAGGGUGUGGUUAGUUUCGGCAAGGAUAUUGUUGGGCAGGGGAUAUUGGCGUUUAGAAAUGCAUGGCCAAAGGCAUUGC
RNAcentral lists this unclassified non-coding RNA (213 nucleotides) under Hevea brasiliensis (rubber tree). Lineage: Eukaryota; Viridiplantae; Streptophyta; Magnoliopsida; Malpighiales; Euphorbiaceae. The record is from RNAcentral.